RNAcentral lists this long non-coding RNA (638 nucleotides) under Gossypium barbadense (sea-island cotton). Its description in RNAcentral is "long non-coding RNA (GBAR_LNC021685)". The record is from RNAcentral. Lineage: Eukaryota; Viridiplantae; Streptophyta; Magnoliopsida; Malvales; Malvaceae.
ACCAAAUCAGUAAUUAAACAUAAAAUUAGAUAUUCAAUGCCAAUCACGUGAAACAACACCGUUUAAAAUUGGAUCCAAAUGAAAAUAAAGUUAAAUAUGCGGUACAAAUUAAGAAAAUGGUAAGAAAACUGAAUCGAACAACUCCCAAAUGAAGAAGGGCUCAUAGUGCAAAUAAACCAAAAUGUCAGAACGCGCGGAUCCUCCCCAGGUCAAAUUGGAUCAUCAUGUCACAGGCUGUACGACGUCGUUUUGAGGCCACUGAAACCGGCCACAAACGACGUCGUUCUACAGGCGUAUUAAAAGACAAAAAAAAAACUGUUAAACCGUUCACUAUUUCAAAAUAAAAAGGAAAAGAAAAAAAGGAUAAAAAACCCUAAGGGUUUCGUUCCCUUCCCAAGUGCUGCCCUUUGCCUCAACUCCGAUUACCAGAGGAGGACGCGAGCUUCAACGGCGCCGAUGACAAGGUAAGAUUCCCUCCCUUCUUUAUAUUUUUUGCAUAUAAAAAUCAGAACAAAUAGAAGAAAACGCAAGAAAAUAAGAAAAUAAAAAAUAAAAAAAUAAAACCAAGUCGAACGAUCAACUAAACGAUGUAUUCUUUUGUGUUUCUCAAUUCUUUUGUGUUUUAUGCAUUGAUUUCG